Molecule: ribosomal RNA, 525 nt
Filed under: uncultured bacterium
Lineage: Bacteria
Description: bacterial SSU rRNA
Rfam family: Bacterial small subunit ribosomal RNA
Source: RNAcentral
ACUAAAUAGAUACCCCGGUAGUCCACGCUGUAAACGAUGAUUACUCGAUGUUGGCGAUACACAGUCAGCGUCUGAGCGAAAGCAAUAAGUAAUCCACCUGGGGAGUACGAUCGCAAGAUUGAAACUCAAAGGAAUUGACGGGGGCCCGGCACAAGCGGAGGAGCAUGUGGUUUUAAUUUCGAUGAUACGCGAGGAACCUUACCUGGGCUCGAACGUAAGAUGACUGUAGGUGAAAGCUUACAUCUCUUCGGAGCAUUUUACGAGGUGCUGCAUGGUUGUCGUCAGCUCGUGCCGUGAGGUGUCGGGUUAAGUCCCAUAACGAGCGCAACCCCUACCUUUAGUUGCCAACAGGUCAUGCUGGGGACUCUAAAGGAACUGCCUACGCAAGUAGUGAGGAAGGCGGGGAUGACGUCAAAUCAGCACGGCCCUUACGUCCAGGGCUACACACGUGCUACAAUGGCCGAUACAGAGGGCAGCUACCUGGUGACAGGAUGCAAAUCUCCAAAGUCGGUCUCAGUUCGGAUC